RNAcentral lists this ribosomal RNA (207 nucleotides) under uncultured bacterium. Its description in RNAcentral is "partial 16S ribosomal RNA". It matches the Rfam family "Bacterial small subunit ribosomal RNA", at positions 1294 to 1500 of the family's 1533-position model. The record is from RNAcentral.
CGGAUUGUAGUCUGNAACCCGACUACAUGAAGCUGGAAUUGCUAGUAAUCGCGGAUCAGAAUGCCGCGGUGAAUACGUUCCCGGGUCUUGUACACACCGCCCGUCACACCAUGGGAGUCGGAAAUGCCCGAAGUCUGUGACCCAACCUUAGGGAGGGAGCAGCCGAAGGCAGGUCGGAUGACUGGGGUGAAGUCGUAACAAGGUACC